GCCGCUAUCGUCUAGUGGUUAGGACGCCAGGUUUUCAUCCUGGCAACCGGGGUCCGAUUCCCCGUGGCGGUACCA
Molecule: transfer RNA, 75 nt
Filed under: Parcubacteria group bacterium CG2_30_36_18
Lineage: Bacteria
Also listed under: 2 other names
Description: tRNA-Glu
Rfam family: tRNA
About the family: Transfer RNA (tRNA) molecules are approximately 80 nucleotides in length.
Source: RNAcentral